RNAcentral lists this ribosomal RNA (253 nucleotides) under uncultured bacterium. RNAcentral describes it as "partial 16S ribosomal RNA". It matches the Rfam family "Bacterial small subunit ribosomal RNA", at positions 524 to 776 of the family's 1533-position model. The record is from RNAcentral.
UACAUGGGGUGCAACCGUUGCUCGGAAUUAUUGGGCGUAAAGCGCGCGUAGGCGGUUAUCUAAGUCGGAUGUGAAAGCCCUUGGCUUAACUGAGGAAGUGCACCCGAAACUGGAUAGCUAGAGUACGAAAGAGGGUCGCGGAAUUCCCGGUGUAGAGGUGAAAUUCGUAGAUAUCGGGAGGAACACCGGUGGCGAAGGCGGCGACCUGGGUCGAGACUGACGCUGAGGCGCGAAAGCGUGGGGAGCAAACAGG